UACAGAGGUCCCGAGCGUUGUUCGGAUUCACUGGGCGUAAAGGGUGCGUAGGUGGCAUGGCCAGUUUGAUGUGAAAGCUCAGGGCUUAACCCUGAAAUGGCAUUGAAUACUGCCGUGCUGGAGGUUUGGAGGGGGGACUGGAAUUCUUGGUGUAGCAGUGAAAUGCGUAGAUAUUGGGAAGAACACCGGUGGCGUAGGCGACUCGCUGGGCCGCAACUGACGCUGAGGAACGAAAGCCAGGGGAGCGAAUGGG
Molecule: ribosomal RNA, 253 nt
Filed under: uncultured prokaryote
Description: partial 16S ribosomal RNA
Rfam family: Bacterial small subunit ribosomal RNA
Source: RNAcentral